This 253-nucleotide ribosomal RNA is filed under the name uncultured bacterium. RNAcentral describes it as "partial 16S ribosomal RNA". It matches the Rfam family "Bacterial small subunit ribosomal RNA", at positions 524 to 776 of the family's 1533-position model. The record is from RNAcentral.
UACGAAGGGGGCUAGCGUUGUUCGGAAUUACUGGGCGUAAAGGGCGCGUAGGCGGCGUGUCAAGUCAGGCGUGAAAGCCCCGGGCUCAACCCGGGAACCGCGCUUGAGACUGGCAUGCUCGAGUUCGGGAGAGGAUGGUGGAAUUCCCAGUGUAGAGGUGAAAUUCGUAGAUAUUGGGAGGAACACCGAUGGCGAAGGCGGCCAUCUGGACCGACACUGACGCUGAGGCGCGAAAGCGUGGGGAGCAAACAGG